This 487-nucleotide ribosomal RNA is filed under the name Triticum aestivum (bread wheat). Its description in RNAcentral is "partial small subunit ribosomal RNA". Lineage: Eukaryota; Viridiplantae; Streptophyta; Magnoliopsida; Poales; Poaceae. The record is from RNAcentral.
GCAAGAAUGAGAUUGUUCGGCUUCAAAUUAAGCAGCUCGCAUCAUGAAUUCAUGUAUGGACUAAUUGCAGCACGCACGCAUCAACUGAACUAAACAUUGUGUCUAAUUGAUCCAGCCCAUCGACGACUGACUUGAGGCAAUGUCAACGGUGGCGCUGCUGCUGCUGCCGUGGGCGCUGGGCGAGCCGGCGGGGACGCCGUCGUCGUCUUGACCGCCUCUUCUGCUGCCGGUGCCAGCGUAGUCGUCCUCCUCGGCGAUGGGGUCGAGGCAGCUCUCUGCUGCUUGGCGGAGGAGGAGUCUCUGCAGGUGCACCACGUGGCGGGUUUCCGGCGGGGCCGCCUCGUCAGCGGCGAAGCGGCCGAGCGUGCAGGAUCUCUUGGCGGGGGCCAUGAUGACUACACUGGUGGUUGUCUUCUUGCGUGAUCAGUUCUAGUUGCAGAGAGGUUUCUUGGCCUGCUGCUGCAGCUGUGCGGUGGUGAUGGUGCAC